CAGUCGCCGCGGGAAUACGUAGGUGGCAAGCGUUGUCCGGAAUUAUUGGGCGUAAAGGGCUCGCAGGCGGUUUCUUAAGUCUGAUGUGAAAGCCCCCGGCUCAACCGGGGAGGGUCAUUGGAAACUGGGAAACUUGAGUGCAGAGGAGGAGAGUGGAAUUCCACGUGUAGCGGUGAAAUGCGUAGAGAUGUGGAGGAACGCCAGUGGCGAAGGCGACUCUCUGGUCUGUAACUGACGCUGAGGAGCGAAAGCGUGGGGAGCGAACAGGAUUAGAUACCCGGGUAGUCCCUGUCUCUUAUAC
Molecule: ribosomal RNA, 301 nt
Filed under: uncultured bacterium
Lineage: Bacteria
Description: partial 16S ribosomal RNA
Rfam family: Bacterial small subunit ribosomal RNA
Source: RNAcentral